Homo sapiens (human) is the source of this 946-nucleotide long non-coding RNA. RefSeq lists it as uncharacterized. Lineage: Eukaryota; Metazoa; Chordata; Mammalia; Primates; Hominidae. The record is from RefSeq and is a predicted model, not a curated record. The transcript has 4 exons.
CCCGCCUCGGCCUCCCAAAGUGCUGGGAUUACAGGCAUGAGCCACCGUGCCCAGCCCCAGUUCCAUCUUUGAUAGGAGAUAGAAAAAAAGAUUGAGCAGGAUGGAUGAAGAGGACACUGUUUUUCAAAACUGAUAAACCAGAACUUUUCAAAUGAGUAAACAUCAGGUAAACAUGGAAAGAGACAGUCUGGACAGGCUGAGGGGAUGGCACUGAAGACCCUGCAGUUUUCCAACUGGCUAAUCAGACCCCUGGGAAGAAGGAAUGCUUUUCGGGGUACCUGGCCCAGGCAGCAGAAGGGACGCUCCGUGACUGCUGGGCAUAGCCCUUCAUAGGCCUCAGAGCUUCUGUUUUCACUGUUUUGCCACACCAGCGGAUCUGCAAGAGAGUAGCCCAGGCAGAACUCAGCUGUUCUUUGCAGCCACCCCAGCGGAGAUGCCACACAGACCAGUGAAACCACCUUGGCAGCUCCAGCACCUGUUGAGCUGCCCAGCCAACACCACAUGGGGCAGAGAUGAGCUGCCAAGCCUGUCUACUACGUUUUGGGGUGGUGGAGGAGUGGGCAGUGCCAAAUCCCGAGAAGAAGCUCAAUGAGUAUUUGUCUCUUUUCAUUUCAGCAAGCAGAGGGUCCUCAAGGAUUUUUGUCUGUCUUGGUUGUCUGUCGUAUCUCGUGUCUAGAACACAGAACUCACAGUAAGUAGGCACUUCAAUCAAUUACCUGUAGAAUGAACGGACUGAAUGUCACCUUGUUAGAGUACCCUCCUGACCACACUCUGCUAAGCAGUAAUCUUUUAUUUCUCUUUCCCAGUUUUAUUUUUCCUCAUUUACACUUAAUCACCUUGUGACACCUAUUUGUUUACUGUUUCCCCAGUAGAGUGAAAGUCACUUUAACAGCAGAGAUUUAAAUGUAUUUUAAUCCCUACAAAGGAGAAAAAGGGAGGAAAUACG